Molecule: ribosomal RNA, 481 nt
Filed under: uncultured bacterium
Lineage: Bacteria
Description: partial 16S ribosomal RNA
Rfam family: Bacterial small subunit ribosomal RNA
Source: RNAcentral
GACGAAUGCUUGCGGCGUGCUUAACACAUGCAAGUCGAACGGUGAAGGGGAGCUUGCUCCCUGGAUCAGUGGCGAACGUGUGAGUAACACGUGGGCAACCUGCCCCCCACUUCGGGAUAACCAUUCGAAAGGAUGACUAAUACCGGUAAUGCGCCCGGGUGACAUCUCUGGCGUUGGCUAGUUUUUCGGUGAGGGAUGGUGCCGCGGACUAUCAUCUUGGUGGUGAGGUAACGGCUCAGAAAGGCGAAGACGGGUAGCCGGCCUGAGAGGGCGACCGGCCACACUGGGACUGAGACACGGCCAAGACGCCUACGGGAAGCAGAAGUGGGGAAUAUUGCACAAUGGGCGCAAGCCUGAUGCAGCUACGCCGCGUGAGGGAUGAAGGCCUUCGGGUUGUAAACCUCUUUCAGUAGGGACGAAGCGCAAGUGACGCUACCUAAAGAAGAAGCACCGGCUAACUACGUGCCAGCAGCCGCAGUAA